This 432-nucleotide ribosomal RNA is filed under the name Triticum aestivum (bread wheat). Its description in RNAcentral is "partial small subunit ribosomal RNA". The record is from RNAcentral. Lineage: Eukaryota; Viridiplantae; Streptophyta; Magnoliopsida; Poales; Poaceae.
AUGCGGGUCCCACGCGCAGGGGGGACUAGCGCGUCGCCCUCUUCCUCCUCCUGCCUCCCUGCUCGGAGACGGAGGAGCGAAGCAGGGGAGGGGGCGGCGAUGGGGCGGCUGGCUCAGGCCAGCUCCGGCCCGGCCGAGCACACCGGCGGGUGCGCGGGACCACACCACACCCGCUCCAAGAGAGAAGAGGCGCGGGGAGGCCUGGAGCUGUGGUUGUGGUUGGCAACAGAGAAGAACAGUGGGCGGGCGCCGGGAAUGGAGCAGACUGCUCCGGCCACCUCAAGCCAAGGCGCGGGCACCGGCGGCUUGAGGGCGGAGCACUGCACCCAUUCAGAGUCAAAGGAGGCGCCGGAGAGUGGUGGAGAGGCGGUGAGGCGCGGCAACCGGGGAGGCUACAAAGAGCUCGGUUGGUGGAGGUACUCGGCGAAGUAG